AACGAACGCUGGCGGCAUGCCUAACACAUGCAAGUCGAACGAGACCUUCGGGUCUAGUGGCGCACGGGUGCGUAACGCGUGGGAACCUGCCCUUAGGUUCGGAAUAACUCCCCGAAAGGGGUGCUAAUACCGGAUAAUGUCUUCGGACCAAAGAUUUAUCGCCUUUGGAUGGGCCCGCGUUGGAUUAGCUAGUUGGUAGGGUAAAAGCCUACCAAGGCGACGAUCCAUAGCUGGUCUGAGAGGAUGAUCAGCCACACUGGGACUGAGACACGGCCCAGACUCCUACGGGAGGAAGCAGUGGGGAAUAUUGGACAAUGGGCGAAAGCCUGAUCCGGCAAUGCCGCGUGAGUGAUGAAGGCCUUAGGGUUGUAAAGCUCUUUUACCCGGGAUGAUAAUGACAGUACCGGGAGAAUAAGCUCCGGCUAACUCCGUG
This 433-nucleotide ribosomal RNA is filed under the name uncultured bacterium. RNAcentral's name for it is "partial 16S ribosomal RNA". It matches the Rfam family "Bacterial small subunit ribosomal RNA", at positions 29 to 507 of the family's 1533-position model. The record is from RNAcentral.